This 403-nucleotide ribosomal RNA is filed under the name uncultured bacterium. RNAcentral's name for it is "bacterial SSU rRNA". It matches the Rfam family "Bacterial small subunit ribosomal RNA", at positions 355 to 775 of the family's 1533-position model. The record is from RNAcentral.
CAGGGAAUAUUAGUAAUGGGCGAAAGCCUGAACUAGCAACGCCGCGUGUGCGAAGAAGGCCUUCGGGUUGUAAAGCACUUUUUGAGAGGAUGAGGAAGGACGGUACUCUCAGAAUAAGUCUCGGCUAACUACGUGCCAGCAGCCGCGGUAACACGUAGGAGGCGAACGUUAUCCGGAUUUACUGGGUGUAAAGCGCGUGCAGGCGGACGGGUAAGUUGGGUGUGAAAGCUCCUGGCUAAACUGGGAGAGGUCGCUCAAGACUGCCGGUCUAGAGCAUGGUAGGGGAAGGCGGAAUUCCGGGUGUAGUGGUGAAAUGCGUAGAUAUCCGGAGGAACACCAGUGGCGAAAGCGGCCUUCUAGACCAUGACUGACGCUCAGACGCGAAAGCUAGGGUAGCAAACGG